GGCAAUUGCAGGAAGACAAAGGAUGGUCUCAUCGUGAAGGCAGUUGAAUGAUGUUCCGAGAAUUGGAUUCUAUCCCCAUCUGUGCCACAGAGUUCCUGUGUGAUGCUGGACAAGUCACUGAAACCAAAUUUUUCACAGAUCAGUCUGCAUUAAAAUCCUGAUGGCCCCAAACUUCCCAGCUAGCUCCUAUCUAUAACAUGCUGCGCCAAAAUCCUGUAUGUGCAUUUAGGACAAGAAACAGCCAAACAAGUAAUCGUCUGCCAGCAAGCCUUGUAAGAAGUGGGAAUAUCUAGAUGC
Molecule: long non-coding RNA, 297 nt
Organism: Dermochelys coriacea (leatherback sea turtle)
Lineage: Eukaryota; Metazoa; Chordata; Testudines; Dermochelyidae
Exons: 3
Source: RefSeq, a predicted model, not a curated record